CAAUAGCGUAUAUUAAAGCUGUUGCGGUUAAAAAGCUCGUAGUUGGAUUUCUGUCAAGGACAACUGGUCCGCCCUCCGGGUGAGCACAUAGUUUGGUCUUGGCAUCUUGCUGGAAACUGUUGCUGCGCUUGGUUGUGUGGUGCAGCUUUCAGCACUUUCACUUUGAGGAAAUUGGAGUGUUUCAAGCAGGCACAUGCCUUUGGACACAGUAGCAUGGAAUAAUUAGAUUGGGCUUUUGCUCCAACUUGUUGGUUCCUGGAGCUGAGGUGAGAAUCAAUGGGGAUUGUUGGGGGCAUCCGAAUUUAACCGUCAGAGGUGAAAUUCUUGGAUCUGCUAAAGACGGACAACUGCGAAAGCGUUUGCCCAGGAUGUUUUCAUUGA
Molecule: ribosomal RNA, 381 nt
Filed under: uncultured eukaryote
Lineage: Eukaryota
Description: partial 18S ribosomal RNA
Rfam family: Eukaryotic small subunit ribosomal RNA
Source: RNAcentral